RNAcentral lists this ribosomal RNA (849 nucleotides) under uncultured archaeon. RNAcentral's name for it is "bacterial SSU rRNA". It matches the Rfam family "Archaeal small subunit ribosomal RNA", at positions 469 to 1316 of the family's 1478-position model. The record is from RNAcentral.
CGGAACACCGGCAGCCCGAGUGGUGAUCACUAUUAUUGGGUCUAAAGGGUCCGUAGCCGGUUUAAUCAGUCUUCUGGGAAAUCUAAUCGCUUAACUAUUAGGCUUCCAGGGGAUACUGUUAGACUUGGGACCGGGAGAGGUAAGAGGUACUGCAGGGGUAGGAGUGAAAUCUUGUAAUCCCUGUGAGACCACCAGUGGCGAAGGCGUCUUACCAGAACGGGUCCGACGGUGAGGGACGAAAGCUGGGGGCACGAACCGGAUUAGAUACCCGGGUAGUCCCAGCUGUAAACGAUGCUCGUUAGGUGUCAGGAACGGUGCGACUGUUUCUGGUGCCGAAGGGAAGCCGUGAAACGAGCCACCUGGGAAGUACGGCCGCAAGGCUGAAACUUAAAGGAAUUGGCGGGGGAGCACUACAACGGGUGGAGCCUGCGGUUUAAUUGGACUCAACGCCGGAAAACUCACCGGGGGCGACAGCAAUAUGUAGGUCAGGUUAAAGGUCUUACCUGAAUCGCUGAGAGGAGGUGCAUGGCCGUCGUCAGUUCGUACUGUGAAGCAUCCUGUUAAGUCAGGCAACGAGCAAGACCCGUGCCCACUGUUACCAGCAUAUCCUUUAUGGAUGAUGGGGACUCUGUGGGGACCGCUGCUGCUAAAGCAGAGGAAGGUGCGGGCUACGGUAGGUCAGUAUGCCCCGAAUCUCCCGGGCUACACGCGGGCUACAAUGGUUGGGACAAUGGGUAUCUACUCCGAAAGGAGUUGGCAAUCUCUUAAACCCAAUCGUAGUUCGAAUUGAGGGCUGUAACUCGCCCUCAUGAAGCUGGAAUCCGUAGUAAUCGCGUUUCAACAUAGCGC